RNAcentral lists this non-coding RNA (27 nucleotides) under Rattus norvegicus (Norway rat). The record is from RNAcentral. Lineage: Eukaryota; Metazoa; Chordata; Mammalia; Rodentia; Muridae.
UGAUUACUUUGGUGGCCUCUCCGCCUU